This 900-nucleotide ribosomal RNA is filed under the name uncultured bacterium. RNAcentral describes it as "bacterial SSU rRNA". It matches the Rfam family "Bacterial small subunit ribosomal RNA", at positions 89 to 965 of the family's 1533-position model. The record is from RNAcentral.
AUUUUAGUGGCGAACGGGUGAGUAACGCGUGGGUAACCUGCCCUUUUAUCGGGGACAACUUGCCGAAAGGUGAGCUAAUACCGGAUGUCCUAUCUAAAACACAAGUUUAAGAUAGCAAAGGUGGCCUCUUUAAAUGCUACCGUAAAAGGAUGGACCCGCGUCUGAUUAGCUAGUUGGUGAGGUAAUGGCUCACCAAGGCGACAAUCAGUAGCCGGCCUGAGAGGGUGAACGGCCACACUGGGACUGAGACACGGCCCAGACUCCUACGGGAGGCAGCAGUGGGGAAUCUUCCGCAAUGGACGAAAGUCUGACGGAGCAACGCCGCGUGAGUGAUGAAGGUCUUCGGAUUGUAAAACUCUGUUUUUUGGGACGAACGGCUCAUAUGUAAAUAAUGUAUGAGAUUGACGGUACCAAAGGAGGAAGCCCCGGCUAACUACGUGCCAGCAGCCGCGGUAAUACGUAGGGGGCAAGCGUUGUCCGGAAUUAUUGGGCGUAAAGAGCGCGCAGGCGGGUCUGUCAGUCUACCGUGAAAGCUUACGGCUCAACCGUAACAGGUCGGUGGAUACUGCAGAUCUUGAGGGCAGGAGAGGAAAGUGGAAUUCCCAGUGUAGCGGUGAAAUGCGUAGAUAUUGGGAGGAACACCAGUGGCGAAGGCGACUUUCUGGACUGUUACUGACGCUGAGGCGCGAAAGCUGGGGGGAGUGAACGGGAUUAGAUACCCCGGUAAUCCCAGCCGUAAACGAUGGGUACUAGGUGUAGGAGGUAUCGACCCCUUCUGUGCCGGAGUUAACGCAAUAAGUACCCCGCCUGGGGAGUACGGUCGCAAGACUGAAACUCAAAGGAAUUGACGGGGGCCCGCACAAGCGGUGGAGCAUGUGGUUUAAUUCGACGCAACGCGAA